CUGUCCACCUGGCAUGUCCUCAUUCAGCCUGCCAGGCACCCAGACUCUUCUGGAAUCUCAGGAGAGGGUGGGGCGCCACCUAGCAGAGGUCUCCAGCUGCACAUGCAAGCUGCCACUUCAGCCCGGAGUCAUUCAGGAGCUGACUUUAUUCUACUGCAUUGUCCUGGUUGUCAGAAGAUGGGGAGGGAAGGGGAAACCAGAGAUACCAGGAGAGAUCAACCUAUAUUAGGCAUGUGAGAGGCAGAACAACUGAGUGAUUACGGUGAGAUUGAGCCAGAUGGCCUGGGUUCAGAUCCUGCUCUGCUGCCUGCCAACUGUGCAAGCUUGGACCCCAUCAAGAGUGUGGCUCCAUCUUCCAGAUCUGGAGCAAGCUCCUUGAGGCCAGGAGCUGCGUCCAGCUCACCUCUGUCUCCUAGACUGGGCCCAGUUGAUGAGCUCCAGGAGCUGACACUUUGGGGAAAACUGGAUGAGACAGAGGAACCAUUCAGAAGACAAUGCAGCAAUUGGACAUCAAAGGCCCAGAGAGGGGAAGGGACUCAUCAAGGCCACACAGCACAGCAAGCCUGUGUCAGAGCCCUGGGAUUGGGUCCCCAAGGCAUCAGGAGCCCUAGCGGCUCUGCCCUUAGCUCUGAGACCGUUAUCUCUGGUCCCCGUCUGGACCUCCUCUCUCUGGGCACCAAGAGCCAG
This 687-nucleotide long non-coding RNA is filed under the name Equus asinus (donkey). RNAcentral describes it as "lncRNA (ENSEASG00005032716.1)". Lineage: Eukaryota; Metazoa; Chordata; Mammalia; Perissodactyla; Equidae. The record is from RNAcentral.